ACUCGCUCCCAGAUCUUGCCCUGUGUGUCUCUCCAUUUGGCUGCUGCUGAGUUCUAUGUAGCUGGUGCUGCCUGCGGGUGUGGACUUCUGCACACAAAGGGCCUUCCUGUCUGGGAACCAGGAACGGAGGGGUUGGAGCCCCCAAGUCAUUGUUUUCCCCCCAACAGCUCCGAUGAAGGUGAAGAAAUUAGAGAGGCCUCCUCUGGACUUUGGCCAGAUGAAAUUUGUGUUUCUGGAAGAGAGAAGAGAGAAAGAACAGCCCCGACUUCAACAGGUUGCAGAUUUGUGGGAAGUUUGUGGCCAGCCGACCUGGAGGAAGACCCGGAGAAAAGGGCGAGGGAGGAGAUUUGGUGAAACUGG
Long non-coding RNA from Pteropus alecto (black flying fox), 360 nucleotides. RefSeq lists it as uncharacterized. The record is from RefSeq and is a predicted model, not a curated record. The transcript has 3 exons. NCBI's taxonomy places the organism in Eukaryota, Metazoa, Chordata, Mammalia, Chiroptera, Pteropodidae.